ACCCACCACCGCUCCGCGCUCCGCGCCCCGCGCGACGGCCCCAGCCGGGUCAGGAGAAUGGACGCUGCGCCCCCGGCUUUCUGGGAGGAGAAUGCACAGGUCGGCCCCGCUGCCUUGCUCGCCCCCUUCUCGCUGCCCCUGCGCACCGAAUUUCUCCGGGAAUCGCCCACACGAGCCCGAUGCCGCCCUCUCCUUCCGGCGGCGGCCGCGCGGGGCCAGCUGCCCUGGACGCCCGCCCCCCACCCAAGUGCCGGCGCGGCCCGGAGACUCCGCCGCUCCAAGUUCGCCCGCGGUCGCACGAGCUUGAACGCAUCCCGCAGUUGGCGGACAGCGAGAUGGUCUCAGUGAAGGAGUUUGGGUGUUUCUCAUGAAGUGCCAUUGAUCCCUAUGAGAAAUCUGUUUGUAGUGCUCCAUGCCUGCUCGGAGAGUCCAAGAACUGCUAAAAACUGAUGGCCCUUGUUCAAGACAACAGGAAGUUUUCAGGUCGCGUGUUUCCUUUCCAGAGAGUUGUUUUGUGGAUAGCAAUGGAGUCUUUAGCAUUCACAAGAUUUAGAGGACUUCAGCAUAAUUUUAUCUUCACAUACCAACAAUCG
Balaenoptera acutorostrata (minke whale) is the source of this 593-nucleotide long non-coding RNA. RefSeq lists it as uncharacterized. The record is from RefSeq and is a predicted model, not a curated record. The transcript is spliced from 3 exons. Lineage: Eukaryota; Metazoa; Chordata; Mammalia; Artiodactyla; Balaenopteridae.